GGAGAAAUGGCAGAGUGGUCGAAUGCGGCGGUCUUGAAAACCGUUGUCCCGAGGAAUCGGGACCGGGGGUUCGAAUCCCUCUUUCUCCGCCA
RNAcentral lists this transfer RNA (92 nucleotides) under Bacteroidales bacterium. RNAcentral's name for it is "tRNA-Ser". It matches the Rfam family "tRNA". Rfam says of the family: Transfer RNA (tRNA) molecules are approximately 80 nucleotides in length. Lineage: Bacteria; Pseudomonadati; Bacteroidota; Bacteroidia; Bacteroidales. The record is from RNAcentral.